Molecule: ribosomal RNA, 489 nt
Filed under: uncultured bacterium
Lineage: Bacteria
Description: bacterial SSU rRNA
Rfam family: Bacterial small subunit ribosomal RNA
Source: RNAcentral
GACGAACGCUAGCGGCAGGCUUAACACAUGCAAGUCGAGGGGCAGCCAUGAGACGGAGAUUCGUCGAAGUCUUGAUGGCGACCGGCGCAAGGGUGCGUAACGCGUGAGCAACUUGCCCGUUUCUGGGGAAUAACCGGUGGAAAACGCCCGACUAAUACCCCCAUAGUAUAGACGAAAGGCAUCUUUUGUUAUUAAAGAAAUUCGGAAACGGAUAGGCUCGCGUGACAUUAGCUAGAUGGCGGGGUAACGGCCCACCAUGGCGACGAUGUCUAGGGGUUCUGAGAGGAAGGUCCCCCACACUGGAACUGAGACACGGUCCAGACUCCUACGGGACGGCAGCAGUGAGGAAUAUUGGUCAAUGGACGAAAGUCUGAACCAGCCAACGUAGCGUGAAGGAUGACUGCCCUAUCGGGUUGUAAACUUCUUUUGUCGUGGAACAAAACCUCGCCACGUGUGGCAGUUUGCGUGUACACGUUGAAUAAGCAUCGG